RNAcentral lists this ribosomal RNA (253 nucleotides) under uncultured bacterium. RNAcentral describes it as "partial 16S ribosomal RNA". It matches the Rfam family "Bacterial small subunit ribosomal RNA", at positions 524 to 776 of the family's 1533-position model. The record is from RNAcentral.
UACGAAGGGGGCUAGCGUUGUUCGGAAUUACUGGGCGUAAAGGGCGCGUAGGCGGCGUGUCAAGUCAGGCGUGAAAGCCCCGGGCUCAACCUGGGAACCGCGCUUGAGACUGGCAUGCUCGAGUUCGGGAGAGGAUGGUGGAAUUCCCAGUGUAGAGGUGAAAUUCGUAGAUAUUAGGAAGAACACCAGUGGCGAAGGCGGCUCACUGGUCCGGUACUGACGCUGAGGUGCGAAAGCGUGGGGAGCAAACAGG